Molecule: ribosomal RNA, 253 nt
Filed under: uncultured bacterium
Lineage: Bacteria
Description: partial 16S ribosomal RNA
Rfam family: Bacterial small subunit ribosomal RNA
Source: RNAcentral
UACGAAGGGGGCUAGCGUUGCUCGGAUUGACUGGGCGUAAAGGGCGCGUAGGCGGUUUGCAUAGUCAGACGUGAAAUUCCUGGGCUUAACCUGGGGGCUGCGUUUGAUACAUGCAGGCUUGAGUUCGGAAGAGGGUCGCGGAAUUCCCAGUGUAGAGGUGAAAUUCGUAGAUAUUGGGAAGAACACCGGUGGCGAAGGCGGCGACCUGGUCCGAUACUGACGCUGAGGCACGAAAGCGUGGGGAGCAAACAGG